UCUCCGUUGGUGAACCAGCGGAGGGAUCAUUACCGAGUGCAAACUCAUAACCCUUUGUGAACCUAUAUCUGUUGCUUCGGCGGCCGGCUCUCGGGCGAGCCCGCCGGUAAUAUCAGUAUCUCUGUUUGAACCCGACGAUACUUCUGAGUGUUCUUAGCGAACAGUUAAAACUUUUAACAACGGAUCUCUUGGCUCUAGCAUCGAUGAAGAGCGCAGC
RNAcentral lists this unclassified non-coding RNA (217 nucleotides) under plant metagenome. Its description in RNAcentral is "partial contains small subunit ribosomal RNA, internal transcribed spacer 1, and 5.8S ribosomal RNA". The stretch from base 169 to 217 matches the Rfam family "5.8S ribosomal RNA", at positions 1 to 49 of the family's 154-position model. The record is from RNAcentral.